Long non-coding RNA from Eptesicus fuscus (big brown bat), 467 nucleotides. RefSeq lists it as uncharacterized. The transcript has 3 exons. NCBI's taxonomy places the organism in Eukaryota, Metazoa, Chordata, Mammalia, Chiroptera, Vespertilionidae. The record is from RefSeq and is a predicted model, not a curated record.
CACACACCAUCUCGGCUGGUGUGCCAGGGGGGCGCGGGGAGGCUGCUUAGAGACCCUCUGGCAUUUGAGACUUUGCUGCUGCUUCUCACGUCACUUCUCCCAACAAACGUCAUGCCUCCAGCUACUCUGCACAGGCCACAGAUUCCGGCCCACAGUCCUCCUCCUCACACUGGGCUUCUGCAACUGCUGUUUCCUCUGCCUGAAAUUCAGAUAGAAGAAUUUGUUUCAGGAAGAGAAGCCACCUAACACCUAAGAAUUAAGUGUUGCAGACUGGGAGACUCCAAACAAAAAUCUGUUCGCCAGGUUCUGUCCCACUGUUUCUGGGUGGCCCAGCAAGAAUUUGUUUGCCACCUGCUGUCUUCCUGUGGAGUACCUGCUUUCCCUUUGACAUUCCAGGCCACUGCCUCCCUUCUUUGUUCAGAAAGGCAUUUAAACCUCAACUGCCCAAUGCGUCUUUGGGUCUCAAA